GAUGAACGCUGGCGGCGUGCCUAAUACAUGCAAGUCGAGCGAACAGAUGAGGAGCUUGCUCCUCUGACGUUAGCGGCGGACGGGUGAGUAACACGUGGAUAACCUACCUAUAAGACUGGGAUAACUUCGGGAAACCGGAGCUAAUACCGGAUAAUAUAUUGAACCGCAUGGUUCAAUAGUGAAAGACGGUCUUGCUGUCACUUAUAGAGGGAUCCGCGCCGCAUUAGCGAGUUGGUAAGGUAACGGCUUACCAAGGCAACGAUGCGUAGCCGACCUGAGAGGGUGGUCGUCCACCCUGGAACUGUGACCCGCUCCACACUCCUACGAGCGGCAGCCGUAGGGCAUCUUCCGCAAUGGGCGACAGCCGUACGGAGCACCGCCACGUGCGUGCUGAAGGUCUUCGGAUCGUAAAACUCUGUUAUUAGGGAAGAACAAAUGUGUAAGUACCUAUGCACGUCUUGACGGUACCUAAUCAGAAAGCCACGGCUAACUACGUG
RNAcentral lists this ribosomal RNA (497 nucleotides) under uncultured bacterium. RNAcentral describes it as "partial 16S ribosomal RNA". It matches the Rfam family "Bacterial small subunit ribosomal RNA", at positions 28 to 507 of the family's 1533-position model. The record is from RNAcentral.